ACCUUGUCCUCGGCGCUGCAGGCUGCCUCCGCCUUGCGGCUGUGAACCGCCCGGAGACCUUGAGCGUGGAAAAAAACAUUUUUUCUCUCAAAGGUGUAACCUGUGGAUCGCAGUAGGCGAAACUGGGAAAAUGAGACUCACACACAGAACGAACACUCUGUGAAGGUGAAGACAGAGAUCACAGUGAUGUUUCUACAUGCCAGGGAACACCAAAGAUGACCAGCAGACCCCAAGAAGCUGGGGGAGAGGCCUGGGACAGACUCUUCUUCACAGCCUCAGAAUGAACCGACCCUGCUGACGCCUUGAUCUCAGACUUCCAGCCUCCAGAGCUGGAUGUAACAACCUCCGGGAAAAAGACUUCUGCUGGUAUCCAUCACCAGUGACAGGACAAAGGGAUGAUCUGGAGUCUCAAGGACUACAAGACCAGAUGGUCAACAUUCCAAGACCUCUGCCCCCCAACCUUCAGCCCAUUUGCCCUGUAUAACUGCUGCAAAUUUUUGUGGUUUUAAGACAGUUCUUUGGGACACUAGUCUACCAUCUCCCCCCUUGCUAGCAAGCUGUAAUAAAAAGACCCUUUGUCUCCUA
Equus quagga is the source of this 585-nucleotide long non-coding RNA. RefSeq lists it as uncharacterized. The record is from RefSeq and is a predicted model, not a curated record. The transcript is spliced from 3 exons. Lineage: Eukaryota; Metazoa; Chordata; Mammalia; Perissodactyla; Equidae.